This is a long non-coding RNA of Suricata suricatta (meerkat), 307 nucleotides long. RefSeq lists it as uncharacterized. The record is from RefSeq and is a predicted model, not a curated record. Lineage: Eukaryota; Metazoa; Chordata; Mammalia; Carnivora; Herpestidae. The transcript has 3 exons.
AAGAGCCCCAUUAAGUGGAGAUGCUAUCAGACCAGGGUCACUUAUGGGACUGCUAAUGGACUGCUGACAGACCGGAUGAACAGAAGGCUUAGCUGCUUUAGAAUCUGCAAAUGAAUACACUAAUAAUCCUGUGAGAAGACGGCUUGGCUUUUUGGAGGACAAGUGCUAUGGGGUGGUAAGAGACUGAGGACCCCAAUCCUGGCCCUGGCAUUUAUCAGGCUCCAUGCAGUUGAAGAUGACUCAGUCCUCGGACCUUACUCAACUGAGUGCUGUACACUCACUGCUCUUUAGGUAAAAUUAAAACAAA